UACGUAGGGGGCAAGCGUUGUCCGGAAUUAUUGGGCGUAAGGCGCGCGCAGGCGGCUUUGUAAGUUUGGUGUUUAAGCUCGGAGCUCAACUCCGAUACGCAUCGAAAACUGCAAGGCUUGAGUGCAGAAGAGGAAAGUGGAAUUCCACGUGUAGCGGUGAAAUGCGUAGAGAUGUGGAGGAACACCAGUGGCGAAGGCGACUUUCUGGGCUGUAACUGACGCUGAGGCGCGAAAGCGUGGGGAGCAAACGGG
This 252-nucleotide ribosomal RNA is filed under the name uncultured bacterium. RNAcentral describes it as "partial 16S ribosomal RNA". It matches the Rfam family "Bacterial small subunit ribosomal RNA", at positions 524 to 776 of the family's 1533-position model. The record is from RNAcentral.